UGGAAUUUUGUUCUUAUUAACAUAGGAUGAUAAUCUCCUUUUUGGCUGCAUGAAAGGGAACUUAAUCAUGUUCAGGUGUCACAUGUGCAUUGCAGCGGGUGGAGCGCAGCUUCCGUCACAGAUUGGGUAUCUAGCUCCAAUUUAUUAAACAGUUAUUGAAGAGCAUGUUGCUAUGGCAGAUGAAGUAGUUGACAAGCAUGAUCUAGCUAUAGAGAUCGCUGAAGGAGACAAAGAAGGUAAUCAUUUGUUUGUUCGAAUUAGACGGCUUCUCCGUAUCUUUCAUAUUUCGUCCAAGGUUCUAAAUUUGGGCAAAGACAUGUGCACCUCAUCCGAGAGAUGGUAAACAUGCAGGAGCUAUUCUUGCAAUUAGUAGCAGUAUGAUCAUGUCUUACUAGAAGGAUAGAGCUAUUCACCAAAUUCAUCUUUGUAUCUUGUUUCCGCUUAGAUGCACAUCUAUUUUGUGUUUUUGUUUACUAUCAACACGAAAUAAUCAGUUUGGAAGAUAACUUUGUCAUAUAUA
Molecule: long non-coding RNA, 520 nt
Organism: Lolium rigidum
Lineage: Eukaryota; Viridiplantae; Streptophyta; Magnoliopsida; Poales; Poaceae
Exons: 3
Source: RefSeq, a predicted model, not a curated record